Molecule: unclassified non-coding RNA, 359 nt
Filed under: uncultured fungus
Lineage: Eukaryota; Fungi
Description: partial contains 5.8S ribosomal RNA and internal transcribed spacer 2
Rfam family: 5.8S ribosomal RNA (bases 1-134)
Source: RNAcentral
UGGUUCUGGCAUCGAUGAAGAACGCAGCGAAAUGCGAUAAGUAAUGCGAAUUGCAGAAUUCCAGUGAGUCAUCGAAUCUUUGAACGCACAUUGCGCCCUUUGGUAUUCCGAAGGGCAUGCCUGUUCGAGCGUCAUUAUCACCCCUCAAGCCCCUGGCUUGGUGUUGGACGGUUUGGUGGAGGCCCCUCGCGGGCCCCCACCCCUCCCAAAGACAAUGACGGCGGCCUCGUUGGACCCCCGGUACACUGAGUUCUUCACGGGACACGUAUCGGACACACGGGUUUACGGGUCACGGUCUGCCUCCCCUCAGGGAGAAUCUUCUCAAGGUUGACCUCGGAUCAGGUAGGGAUACCCGCUGA